AUCAAUAGCUUUCCUCUGGGGUUAUUUGUUUUGGAAGUUAUUCCACUUUAAGGAUGAAGAUGAGAAUGGAGCACUUACUAUUCCUUAAUGGCUGAGAUCCGAUGUAAUUUCUGGACAUGACCAUUGGUGGCUCAAGAAGUGGCUCAUUGAGGAGAUGAACUUUAAGGGUCUUGAAAAAGGCUGACCCCUGGAAUGAAGAAUCAGCCUCUCGGCUUCUGUACCAAGAUGGGGAUUAGUCC
This 239-nucleotide long non-coding RNA is filed under the name Monodelphis domestica (gray short-tailed opossum). Its description in RNAcentral is "lncRNA (ENSMODG00000041198.1)". The record is from RNAcentral. Lineage: Eukaryota; Metazoa; Chordata; Mammalia; Didelphimorphia; Didelphidae.